RNAcentral lists this ribosomal RNA (421 nucleotides) under Bacillus thuringiensis. RNAcentral describes it as "bacterial SSU rRNA". It matches the Rfam family "Bacterial small subunit ribosomal RNA", at positions 201 to 609 of the family's 1533-position model. The record is from RNAcentral. Lineage: Bacteria; Bacillati; Bacillota; Bacilli; Caryophanales; Bacillaceae.
UGAAAGGCGGCUUCGGCUGUCACUUAUGGAUGGACCCGCGUCGCAUUAGCUAGUUGGUGAGGUAACGGCUCACCAAGGCAACGAUGCGUAGCCGACCUGAGAGGGUGAUCGGCCACACUGGGACUGAGACACGGCCCAGACUCCUACGGGAGGCAGCAGUAGGGAAUCUUCCGCAAUGGACGAAAGUCUGACGGAGCAACGCCGCGUGAGUGAUGAAGGCUUUCGGGUCGUAAAACUCUGUUGUUAGGGAAGAACAAGUGCUAGUUGAAUAAGCUGGCACCUUGACGGUACCUAACCAGAAAGCCACGGCUAACUACAUGCCAGCAGCCGCGGUGUACGUAGGUGGCAAGCGUUAUCCGGAAUUAUUGGGCGUAAAGCGCGCGCAGGUGGUUUCUUAAGUCUGAUGUGAAAGCCCACGGCU